This 267-nucleotide ribosomal RNA is filed under the name Salmonella enterica subsp. enterica. Its description in RNAcentral is "partial 23S ribosomal RNA". It matches the Rfam family "Bacterial large subunit ribosomal RNA", at positions 1241 to 1511 of the family's 2925-position model. The record is from RNAcentral. Lineage: Bacteria; Pseudomonadati; Pseudomonadota; Gammaproteobacteria; Enterobacterales; Enterobacteriaceae.
CUGUAAGCCUGCGAAGGUGUGUCGUGAGGCAUGCUGGAGGUAUCAGAAGUGCGAAUGCUGACAUAAGUAACGAUAAAGCGGGUGAAAAGCCCGCUCGCCGGAAGACCAAGGGUUCCUGUCCAACGUUAAUCGGGGCAGGGUGAGUCGACCCCUAAGGCGAGGCCGAAAGGCGUAGUCGAUGGGAAACGGGUUAAUAUUCCCGUACUUGGUGUUACUGCGAAGGGGGGACGGAGAAGGCUAUGUUGGCCGGGCGACGGUUGUCCCGGU